Molecule: ribosomal RNA, 1523 nt
Filed under: Escherichia coli
Lineage: Bacteria; Pseudomonadati; Pseudomonadota; Gammaproteobacteria; Enterobacterales; Enterobacteriaceae
Description: partial 23S ribosomal RNA
Rfam family: Bacterial large subunit ribosomal RNA
Source: RNAcentral
GAAGACCAAGGGUUCCUGUCCAACGUUAAUCGGGGCAGGGUGAGUCGACCCCUAAGGCGAGGCCGAAAGGCGUAGUCGAUGGGAAACAGGUUAAUAUUCCUGUACUUGGUGUUACUGCGAAGGGGGGACGGAGAAGGCUAUGUUGGCCGGGCGACGGUUGUCCCGGUUUAAGCGUGUAGGCUGGUUUUCCAGGCAAAUCCGGAAAACUAAGGCUGAGGCGUGAUGACGAGGCACUACGGUGCUGAAGCAACAAAUGCCCUGCUUCCAGGAAAAGCCUCUAAGCAUCAGGUAACAUCAAAUCGUACCCCAAACCGACACAGGUGGUCAGGUAGAGAAUACCAAGGCGCUUGAGAGAACUCGGGUGAAGGAACUAGGCAAAAUGGUGCCGUAACUUCGGGAGAAGGCACGCUGAUAUGUAGGUGAAGUCCCUCGCGGAUGGAGCUGAAAUCAGUCGAAGAUACCAGCUGGCUGCAACUGUUUAUUAAAAACACAGCACUGUGCAAACACGAAAGUGGACGUAUACGGUGUGACGCCUGCCCGGUGCCGGAAGGUUAAUUGAUGGGGUCAGCGCAAGCGAAGCUCUUGAUCGAAGCCCCGGUAAACGGCGGCCGUAACUAUAACGGUCCUAAGGUAGCGAAAUUCCUUGUCGGGUAAGUUCCGACCUGCACGAAUGGCGUAAUGAUGGCCAGGCUGUCUCCACCCGAGACUCAGUGAAAUUGAACUCGCUGUGAAGAUGCAGUGUACCCGCGGCAAGACGGAAAGACCCCGUGAACCUUUACUAUAGCUUGACACUGAACAUUGAGCCUUGAUGUGUAGGAUAGGUGGGAGGCUUUGAAGUGUGGACGCCAGUCUGCAUGGAGCCGACCUUGAAAUACCACCCUUUAAUGUUUGAUGUUCUAACGUUGACCCGUAAUCCGGGUUGCGGACAGUGUCUGGUGGGUAGUUUGACUGGGGCGGUCUCCUCCUAAAGAGUAACGGAGGAGCACGAAGGUUGGCUAAUCCUGGUCGGACAUCAGGAGGUUAGUGCAAUGGCAUAAGCCAGCUUGACUGCGAGCGUGACGGCGCGAGCAGGUGCGAAAGCAGGUCAUAGUGAUCCGGUGGUUCUGAAUGGAAGGGCCAUCGCUCAACGGAUAAAAGGUACUCCGGGGAUAACAGGCUGAUACCGCCCAAGAGUUCAUAUCGACGGCGGUGUUUGGCACCUCGAUGUCGGCUCAUCACAUCCUGGGGCUGAAGUAGGUCCCAAGGGUAUGGCUGUUCGCCAUUUAAAGUGGUACGCGAGCUGGGUUUAGAACGUCGUGAGACAGUUCGGUCCCUAUCUGCCGUGGGCGCUGGAGAACUGAGGGGGGCUGCUCCUAGUACGAGAGGACCGGAGUGGACGCAUCACUGGUGUUCGGGUUGUCAUGCCAAUGGCACUGCCCGGUAGCUAAAUGCGGAAGAGAUAAGUGCUGAAAGCAUCUAAGCACGAAACUUGCCCCGAGAUGAGUUCUCCCUGACUCCUUGAGAGUCCUGAAGGAACGUUGAAG